RNAcentral lists this ribosomal RNA (253 nucleotides) under uncultured bacterium. RNAcentral's name for it is "partial 16S ribosomal RNA". It matches the Rfam family "Bacterial small subunit ribosomal RNA", at positions 524 to 776 of the family's 1533-position model. The record is from RNAcentral.
UACGUAGGAUGCAAGCGUUGUCCGGAAUUAUUGGGCGUAAAGAGCGCGCAGGCGGUUACUCAAGUCAGAUGUAAAAUAUCCCGGCUUAACCGGGAGGGGCCAUUUGAAACUGGGUAACUAGAGUGAAGCAGAGGAUAGCGGAAUUCCCGGUGUAGUGGUGAAAUGCGUAGAUAUCGGGAGGAACACCAGUGGCGAAGGCGGCUAUCUGGGCUUUAACUGACGCUGAGGCGCGAAGGCUAGGGGAGCAAACAGG